This 43-nucleotide ribosomal RNA is filed under the name Bacillus sp. (in: firmicutes). RNAcentral's name for it is "Bacillus sp. (in: Bacteria) partial 16S ribosomal RNA". The record is from RNAcentral. Lineage: Bacteria; Bacillati; Bacillota; Bacilli; Caryophanales; Bacillaceae.
AACGCUGGCGGCGUGCCUAAUACAUGCAAGUCGAGCGGACAGA